UUCACAUCACAGCGGUGCUGUGUGGAGCGUUUCGCCUAAUGGGGAAAGCAGACCAGCUGCUCACACAGCAGAUAUUGGUCUAAGGGCUGAGCAAGGCUGUGCCUCUCAGUACAUAGACUUGUUUGGGAUAAAAAGAGCUGAGGGAGCAAUUCCAAGAAGCUCAAAAGGCCUACAUAGCAAUGCAGUUAGCUCAGGGUUUGAGCUCUAACAGCAGAUGCUGGGCAGAUACCACUGCUGUUGCAUUUAUUAGAUCCCAAGGCCUGAAACCCACUGGGGUUCCCAGGCUGUGCACAGCCUUUACUACCUCUCAGUGAGAAUAUCAGACUGCAUGCCUUUCUCCAUUUUGUGAUCAAAGUGUAUGUCUCCUUACAGCGAGCAGCUCUGCAAGGGGGCUAUUUUUACAUCCCGAACGACCUGAUCGGGAGCGAGGCAUUAAAUGCAGGCCUUUUGUGUCUCAGGAGAAGGAUCUGCAUCACAUGUGUUCCAGACUGGCUUCUGAAACUUUCCUCUUGGAGCUGAUCCACUUCUGGGGAUAUAAAUACUACCAAGUGAAUGUACAUGUUAAAAUUGUUCAGUGAUGGAAGCAUCUCUGCAAGGAGAAUCUCCUUUUUGUGAAGAACAGCCGUUUAUUUAUUUGAGGAAUCAAAAGGAUGCUGUUUCUGUAAGGAAAUUCAUCCUAGGUCCAAUUUUUUUUUUUGGCAUUUUUGUUGUCUUUUGGACAUACUCCAAACAGCUAUCUAGGUCAGCAUCUGACUGACAGGAGAAUCUAAUUUCUAUGUGCAUAACCUGCUCUUAUUCCAGUUAAGCAUCCUAAAUUAUGCUGGGUAGCACACCCUGUGAGUUAGAUAUGACAAUGCUUAGCUCUAUGAACGCAUCUAACUGGAGGUCCUUAAGCUGAGUCUGAUGUUCUUCGCAUCCUUUAUUCUGCAGUUUGACCUAAACAAAUAUCUGAUUGAAAUGGGGCCUACAGGCUUGACUUUGUUUUAGAGCUGUGUCUUUCAGGGAAUUUUCAGUCCUUUUUGUUAUCUUCUCUGACAAACGAGAAGAUAAAUUAAGUAUAUGUUCAAAACCAGAUGAGGAGUUAAAAUUACAGCUUGCUUCAUUGCAGUUUCUGCAGUAUCUGCAUCAGGAUCUGCACUUGUGCAAUGACUUAGAGGACCUUGCCCUUCUGAGCAGAGAUGUUAUACGAGCAACAUAAACAGAGGACCAAAAUAUGGCCUUAAUUAGAAAGAAAAAUUAAUUGUAGUGUCAACAAUAAUGCAAGACGGUGUAACGUUAGCUGCUGGACUGCAUACAGAAGAAAUCAAACGAUUUAGGGAUAUACUGAAUGUUAAGCAUGUGAAGACCAGUGCAAGGUUUUACUUGUGCCCAGGAUCGCAGGCCUUCAUACGGUCUGAUGUCAACAUGACUGAGGUUACUAAAAAAAAAAUCAUUUCAGAUGCUGAAUGGCCAGGUUAUCUACAUCUCCACGUAAUCUGGAUUGGAUAUGUCUGGAAUAGUGAAAGUAAGCUUGUUUUGUUAAAUUUAAGUUACUUUAAAUAUUUCUCCAGUGUUUAAAACAAAAAUGGCAACUUUGCUUUAAC
Molecule: long non-coding RNA, 1583 nt
Filed under: Gallus gallus (chicken)
Lineage: Eukaryota; Metazoa; Chordata; Aves; Galliformes; Phasianidae
Description: long non-coding RNA NONGGAT007804
Source: RNAcentral